CCCGCCAGUCAGCACACAGGCGAGGAAGCGGGUGGUGGUGGUGGAAGGGGACUCAGACCUUCUUCGACUGCGCCUUCUGCUGUGCGUGUCGGUGUCAGCUGCGGCGGAGGAGCGGUUCCCCAAGGGCGUCCCGAGGAGAAGCCGCCCGCACGUCCGGGGAUUGAUAAUAAUACUCAGCCCCGCCCGCGGAGCGAGUGGAAAAUAGAAUAAGAUAAACGCAUCAGCUGUCGCCACACGCAGCUCAACUGGAAUGAUCACGGGUCUAAUCGGACAAGUUUGAUUUGCAACGGCGAAACACCAGCGAUCCGGGAAGCCGAAGUCGAGGGCUAGCGCAACGAUCCGAACAGUGACACGUGCGAUGGAUCUGGAGGAGUGAAGAGACGCCGAAACAAAAUAAAUAUGUAUUUAUGAGACUAGAUUUUUUUUUCACGUGUGUGUCGAUUAUCCAACAUCGCGCUGACGGUUCCUCGGUGGAUCUAUGAGGAACAAAAGACUCCAAAAAGAGCAGUUGCAUAGUGUUAUUUCUCGCCCGGCGCUUAACAAUUACACACAUUAACCUCCACCAAUCAAGCAAUUAACCGAAACAGCUUGUUGCGAAUCGUCAAAUCGAUCGACAAAUAGCAAUACCAGCGCUCAGUGGACGGACGACACAAGCCCUCGUCUUGCGAGUGAGUUAACCUGAAAGAGAAAAAGAAAAAAACAAAAACAAAACAAUAACCGUGAUCGCUUAGGAGAGAAAAAGUAAGCCAAAAACUCAACAAGAACAAAAGAGA
Molecule: non-coding RNA, 773 nt
Organism: Penaeus vannamei (Pacific white shrimp)
Lineage: Eukaryota; Metazoa; Arthropoda; Malacostraca; Decapoda; Penaeidae
Source: RefSeq, a predicted model, not a curated record